RNAcentral lists this ribosomal RNA (646 nucleotides) under Enterococcus faecalis. Its description in RNAcentral is "partial 23S ribosomal RNA". It matches the Rfam family "Bacterial large subunit ribosomal RNA", at positions 1 to 645 of the family's 2925-position model. The record is from RNAcentral. Lineage: Bacteria; Bacillati; Bacillota; Bacilli; Lactobacillales; Enterococcaceae.
GAUAAGGUUAAGUGAAUAAGGGCGCACGGUGGAUGCCUUGGCACUAGGAGCCGAUGAAGGACGGGACUAACACCGAUAUGCUUUGGGGAGCUGUAAGUAAGCUAUGAUCCAGAGAUUUCCGAAUGGGGGAACCCAAUAUCUUUUAUAGGAUAUUACUUUUCAGUGAAUACAUAGCUGAUUAGAGGUAGACGCAGAGAACUGAAACAUCUUAGUACCUGCAGGAAGAGAAAGAAAAUUCGAUUCCCUGAGUAGCGGCGAGCGAAACGGGAAGAGCCCAAACCAACAAGCUUGCUUGUUGGGGUUGUAGGACUCCGAUAUGGCAGUCUGUUAGUAUAGUUGAAGGAUUUGGAAAAUUCCGCUAAAGAGGGUGAAAGCCCCGUAGACGAAAUGCUGACAACACCUAGGAGGAUCCUGAGUACGGCGGAACACGAGAAAUUCCGUCGGAAUCCGCGGGGACCAUCCCGCAAGGCUAAAUACUCCCUAGUGACCGAUAGUGAACCAGUACCGUGAGGGAAAGGUGAAAAGCACCCCGGAAGGGGAGUGAAAUAGAUCCUGAAACCGUGUGCCUACAACAAGUCAAAGCUCGUUAAUGAGUGAUGGCGUGCCUUUUGUAGAAUGAACCGGCGAGUUACGAUUGCAUGCGAGG